Molecule: ribosomal RNA, 433 nt
Filed under: uncultured bacterium
Lineage: Bacteria
Description: partial 16S ribosomal RNA
Rfam family: Bacterial small subunit ribosomal RNA
Source: RNAcentral
AACGAACGCUGGCGGCAUGCCUAACACAUGCAAGUCGAACGAGACCUUCGGGUCUAGUGGCGCACGGGUUCGUAACGCGUGGGAACCUGCCCUUAGGUUCGGAAUAACUCCCCGAAAGGGGUGCUAAUACCGGAUAAUGUCUUCGGACCAAAGAUUUAUCGCCUUUGGAUGGGCCCGCGUUGGAUUAGAUAGUUGGUAGGGUAAAAGCCUACCAAGGCGACGAUUCAUAGAUGGUCUGAGAGGAUGAUUAGCCACACUGGGACUGAGACACGGCCCAGACUCCUACGGGAGGCAGCAGUGGGGAAUAUUGGACAAUGGGGGAAAGCAUGAUCCAGCAAUGCCGCGUGAGUGAUGAAGGCCUUAGGGUUGUAAAGCUCUUUUACCCGGGAUGAUAAUGACAGUACCGGGAGAAUAAGCCACGGCUAACUCCGUG